AGUUUGGCUUCAAUAACUUAUUUGGCUUAUAAAUUUCAUGUGUAACUGGGAAUAGUAAGAAGAAUUGGCUGAAAACCAUUAUGAAAUAGAAAUGUUUCACUGUAUUUGAUAUAUUUAACAUGAGCAUGUCUUGGAAGAAAAGUUGUGUCAAUUGUACAUAGUAUGUAUGUGUUUAUGUAUUACAGCUAAGUAUGGAAGCUAUACAUUGAUCGAUGUGGACACACAUCAAGUUUUGGACAUCCAGUUGGUGCAGUCAAAUGAAGUGGCCAAUUCGAAUGCCAUGGAACUUGAAGGAUUGAAAAGGGGCCUUGCACAUCUUGAGAAUGCCAGAGUAAAUGUUUCAGACAUAAUAACAGACCGACACAUUCAAGUAAAAGCCUAUAUAAAGAGGGAGAAAGGUGGCAUUAAACAUUGGUUUGAUGGAUGGCAUGUUGCUAAAGACAGGUUGAAAUAGUCCCAAAUGACGUCAUCAUCGAACACCUGGCUGACCUCAUUUCACAGGGGUGUCAAUGACCUUGUACUGAGCUGACCUUGGGAUAAACAACUUUCCCAAACGUAUUUUUAGACUCGAGUGGGCAAUAUAACGCACCCGAACAGUCCCCGUGUCAUUCAGUCGCCAGAGAGAACGCACGCAUGCUCUUAACUCUGUUGGUUCUGGUAGCCGUUUACCUCGAAGAUAGAAAAUGGAAGCCUCGCACCGUGAUAUCCGGAGGAAGAAUCGCUCCGACCUCGUGUUAGCUAUACAGCGUGUAAAAGAGGUGGUCGACAAACUGGUACAGUUUGAAGUCCUUACCAUCUUCAUGAAGGCAGAGAUUAUCGACAAACCAACAACCUCCUUUGACCGGGUCAGAGCUUUAUUAGAUACCCUUCCCCGACGAGGACCCCAAGCUUACACCCUCUUCUGUAAAGCUUUGGAGGAAUGCGGAGAAUACAAGCCAUGACAUUGCUGGGACUAGAGACAGACAAGACAGAGUAUCCUCAUGGUCAUGAUGAGCUAGGUGGGUACCUAUGUAUGGACAGUAUCCCUCCCAAACCUCAAACACGGUUCCAAGAACGGCUGAAUUCUUUUCAGUCUUGGCCUGUGCAGAUGAAACAGAGUCCUAGUCAAAUGGCCGGGCAGGAUUUGUGUACUUAAUCAGAGGAGACGGUUGCAAGUGUGUUCAAUGUGGUGUUGUUCUCAAGAACCGGGAUGUAGAGGAUGAUCCUUGGGUCAAACAUAAAAAAUGGUAUCCAAACUGUCCAUAUUUGGCCCUGGUAGUAGUACCUCAGAAAGAGGUGGUCCGCUGGGGUAGUCAAGUAGAUUGACAUGGGUAAGAGUGUGAUGUCCAUUAUGUCCAUUGUACAGUACUGUGUGUAUUUGCGACUAUUUGAGAAUAAAUCCAUAUUGGUUGUCAUUGGUUGAUGUGAUGUAUAAAAUUGAGAUCCGUUGUUUUCUCGCAGAGCUAUGACAUUUGUAUGUUGUAGACAGGUUGAAAUAGUCCCAAAUGACGUCUUCAUCGAACACCUGGCUGACCUCAUUUCAAAGCGGUGUCAAUGACCUUGUACUGAGCUGGCGUCCAAAGAAAGAGUACAAGUAAAGGCAGCCAC
Long non-coding RNA from Haliotis rubra (blacklip abalone), 1587 nucleotides. RefSeq lists it as uncharacterized. The record is from RefSeq and is a predicted model, not a curated record. Lineage: Eukaryota; Metazoa; Mollusca; Gastropoda; Lepetellida; Haliotidae. The transcript is spliced from 3 exons.